This 419-nucleotide long non-coding RNA is filed under the name Homo sapiens (human). RNAcentral describes it as "HSALNT0035329". The record is from RNAcentral. Lineage: Eukaryota; Metazoa; Chordata; Mammalia; Primates; Hominidae.
CUGUCACCCAGGCUGGAGCGGAGUGGCGCGAUCUCGGUUCACUGCAGCCUCUGCCUCCCAGGUUCAAGCAAUUCUCCUGCCUCAGCCUACCAAGUAGCUGGGAUUACAGGACGGCCUCCUGGUCCUGAAAUGGAAUACUGCACUGACAGAAAGUCAUACUCCUUAGCUGCUGGCUUGGCCCUGGGCAUGGUCUGCUUGGGGCAUGGCAGCAAUUUGAUAGGUAUGUCUGAUCUCAAUGUGCCUGAGCAGCUCUAUCAGUACAUGGUUGGAGGACAUAGGCGCUUUCAAACAGGAAUGCAUAGGGAGAAACAUAAAUCACCAAGUUAUCAAAUCAAAGAAGGAGAUACCAUAAAUGUGGAUGUGACUUGUCCAGGUGCUACUCUAGCUUUGGCUAUGAUCUACUUAAAAACCAAUAACAG